UAAUACCGGAUAUGACUGUCUGACGCAUGUCAGGUGGUGGAAAGCUUUUGUGGUUUUGGAUGGACUCGCGGCCUAUCAGCUUGUUGGUGGGGUAAUGGCCUACCAAGGCGACGACGGGUAGCCGGCCUGAGAGGGUGACCGGCCACACUGGGACUGAGACACGGCCCAGACUCCUACGGGAGGCAGCAGUGGGGAAUAUUGCACAAUGGGCGCAAGCCUGAUGCAGCGACGCCGCGUGAGGGAUGACGGCCUUCGGGUUGUAAACCUCUUUCAGUAGGGAAGAAGCGAAAGUGACGGUACCUGCAGAAGAAGCGCCGGCUAACUACGUGC
RNAcentral lists this ribosomal RNA (330 nucleotides) under uncultured Rickettsia sp. Its description in RNAcentral is "bacterial SSU rRNA". It matches the Rfam family "Bacterial small subunit ribosomal RNA", at positions 164 to 508 of the family's 1533-position model. Lineage: Bacteria; Pseudomonadati; Pseudomonadota; Alphaproteobacteria; Rickettsiales; Rickettsiaceae. The record is from RNAcentral.